Molecule: long non-coding RNA, 4048 nt
Organism: Oreochromis aureus
Lineage: Eukaryota; Metazoa; Chordata; Actinopteri; Cichliformes; Cichlidae
Source: Ensembl
UUCCUGUUUUUCCUUAUCUGAUCAUCAACAUCCUGUGCACAAAACUGUCCCUGCUGCUGCAAGUGCCUCUCAUCUAAAGUCACCUCUCACCAGCAAAAUCAUCAUAAAAUCAUUAUAACGGCUUAUUCUACUAAAAGGAUCAAAGAAAAACAACCACUUUAAUCACUAAGUGUAAGCACCUAGUUAAUUGCUUCUAGAUAAACUUCAUCAUAGCUAAAAACUGAACUCUAACAGUAUUUUGAACUCCCAUUUUCUGGGUAAUAACCUGUUUGAAUAUAUCAUUUUAUUUCAUUUUGCUGCUUUUAAUGUAAUGCCUCCCUCUAACUUAAACUUUAUCAGACUUAACCAACAUAUAUAAGCUUUCUCCCUUUGCUUCUGUUUUCUGUAUUUCUGUAUUCUGUAACUGCUUUUUAUAUAAGAGGACUAAGUUAGAGCUGCAUCUGUUAUCUCAAUAUUUUAUAUGUCACUCAGUUUAGUUACAAGCAAAACUCCUAUUCAGUUCCUCUUUCUGUCAUUUGUUAUUGGGCCAACUCAAAUUCAGUUAAAAGCUAAAGGAAUUUCAGGCCCUAGGCCUCAAAUCAAUACUGUCCUGUGUGUUGAUGAACUCUGUAUGUCUGUAAGCGUGUGCAAUCCUUCAAAACUCAGGUCAUUCUCACAGUAGAUUGGCUAAUCAUAACGUUAACCAAAAGUUUAUGACCCUCAAGAGACGACUCUCUGAGCCACAACUCCGUUAAAGGCCCCAAAAUGCAAUGUGUAUGAAAAAUCAUUUCUACAUAUAUAAUCUCCAAUAUUAUUCAUUUGAGUCAGCGAGACUUUUAACAUCCUCAUAAAAAGCUCUCCACUACCCUAAAAAUAACAACAUUCUAACAUUAUGUCACUGUUACCACUUAUCCUAAAAAUCAAAAAGAAAAAUCCCACAUUUUCUACUCAUAAAAUGUUCACUAUUUUCCCCAAAGCAUAUCCUUUAUUCCCACAAUUUCCCCUUUAAUUUGGUGUACAACUUCUUUUUAACCCCAGCAAUUUAUCUUCUAAACAGAAUUCAGUUCAUUUUACUCCUUUCUUUAGAAUUAACAAUCUCUGCCUCAGUUUUACCAUAUCUAAAUUAUCAAACAACCCCAAUCGUUAUAAAAUCCUAGUAAAACCCUUUCACAUUAAACAAAUUAAAUCUUAAACCCCUCUCUUUUUGACACAUCUCAUGUGGCAAAAACUCAACAUGCUCCACCCAAGCUUAACAAAUUAAAAGGAAAAAAGGUUAGUCAUUUCAUUGCCCAGAACCGCUCAGCAAUUCUCCUCUCCGGUGUUUUGCUUCAGCCCUGAAAACCUGUGUUUAAGGAACAAAAUCAAUUUAAUCAUCAUGUCAAAUCUCCUCCAACUCGUUGCUCCAUGCAAGGUCUGGAUCCUUGGAAUUUCCUGAAAACAAAACCUGUAGUUUACAUUUCAUACUCAACUCUCCCCUUAUGAUCCCGUCUAUGUCAUAACAAAAAAUAAACUUGAACAGAACAGUUAUUAAUCCUGAGUUACCUCAGUUAAUGGUAACUUGAAUCUCAUCAAACAAUGUUUCCCUUUUAGCAUUUAGCAUUCUCCCAACAAUAUAAUGUAAUCCCAUAAUCUAACCCCCGUAAAAAGAAAUUUUCUCAAAGCAAACAUCAGCAUCCCAAAAUCAGCCUCCCCAGAUUUAAGUCUCCCACUUGUCCUGCCUAUGGCAAAAGCAAAACAAAGCAUCCCCUUUCUUUUCCUCACAUGAUAAAUCUGUCCACAUUUAUUCAUUCCCACCUUAGUCCAGUCACUCACAUUCACUCACAUGCAUUCACUCAUGAUAUUUUUUUUGCUGAUCUGCAGCCUUCCGCGCACGUCAUCAGAUGCUCCACAUCAGCAAAAUGAGCUCAAUCAUUUGUUUUAUUUCGUUUUCCUGUUUAGGAAAAUAGUUCUCUAUACUUUUGACUGGAUUGAAUCGAUACAAUCCAUUUUUAGACAGAGACUUGCCGCCAAUCAGUCUCUGAUUGUAAUCAAUUAUAAUUCUGUAAAGCCCACCUGAUUUUCGUACUUGGUAAUUUUGUCAGCGCCGUCCGUUCACUCUCUUCCAGGCCUGCUUAGAACAAAAAUGAAAAAAGAGAGCUGAUUAUUAGCUCAUCAAAGUACCAAACAAAAUCACCUGACAGGUUUUUUCCUGAGUGCACUUACUACUACAAAAAAUUUUUGGGGCCCCUCUCAGACCUAUCCCUGCCUUAAUGAAACACCCUCUCUGGAAAUAAAACAACAGCCUCAAAAAUCUGAAACAAUCUUAAAUUUCACCCGUUCAACACACCGAAAACCUCGUCAAAAGAUCAAAGACCGUUUUCAUUCAGCACAAGAUAAAAACCAAUUUCAACCACAUAUCAUCCUUAAAUUAUAAAUUUCCUGUCCAAAUCUGCCCCUCUGAACAGACCUGACCACCGUAAUCAAAUAUCCUGAUACUUUACCAUUAUAUAUUUCUCCCAAUACUCUUCAACAGCCACUGCUCUCUCUUGAACUGAACCGAAAGCCUCCGCCACACACGCACACAGGAAGUGUCUUUGUCACUCACUCACUCCAGCUAAUUUGCAUAAACCCACAGCUCAACAGCCAACUUAACAAGAGGAAUACAUGUUUAAACUUUAUCACGUUAUUGAAUUAUUUUCAUUUUCUUUCUAUACUAAUCACUUACUUUGAUAAAUCAGUGCAAGAGCACUCCUGAGUCACUCUUAUAGACACUUUUCUUUUGUUUUUUCCAUCUAUUUUAAAUCUUUCCAUCAAUUGUAUUAACCAUUCACACCAUUCUCUCACUCAUACAAGCAGCAAGCAGAUCUUCAUUGCAUAUGCUUAUGUUCUUAGCCAGGUUUUAAAUCAAUACCUGUUCAUUAAGCUUCAAGAGCUUGUCUUUAUAAGGUUAAUGCAUUUUCUGUUUGUGUGUGUAUGGGUAUAUGUUAUUUUGCAUCUAUGGCUUCACAGUCUCCCAGACUUCUUCCCCACUCUCCAGUUAAGCAGUCAGUUUUCUUUUUCCCCCAAUUACUAACCCACAUUUUGAUUUCCCACCUUAAAUAAAGCACUCCUAGUCUUCAGCCAGGAGCUGGGGCUUGCUUUUCAGGUUCCUGGACACAUCAUGCUGUGAACAAUUCAACCAGAAACUUGCCUUAACAUAUCCAUUCAUGUUAACCUGUAAUUUCUUCAGACUCCUGCAUCUGGAGAAUUGGCCUGGGUCUGCUUUACCCCUGAAAAUAACAAACUAAGACAUUUUCAUUAUUAUCACCAGUGGUUAAAUAACCCAUUUCUCUAUCUCUGAUCAGAAACACCAAUUAUGCCAUGCAUGUAAGCGUGUUCUUCCCUGCAUUUUAUGUUAAUUGGGUGUAAACUGCUUCUUCAUUAAAUUAACUCAUUGAGUUCUUCGUUGCCUUGCGAUGUAUUCAUGUUAAUGUACACUACGUGUAAGCUGUUUCUUCAUUGCAUCCGAUAUAUUCAUAUUUAAUUUAUGCAUUUCACCACUGAGCUUUAGACUCAAACUAUCUCACUUCUGAUUCAUUUCAAAAAUAAUCUCACAUGUAACAAUUUGUAUGUGUGUUUUCUAUUCAUUAAGGUAAUGACAAUUAUUUUCGUUCAUUAUUCCUACCUUUUCUAAUGUUUACCUCUUUGUUAUGCUGUAGUGGACAUCCCUAAACAAUUCAUGAGUUCAGGUUUCAAUUUUCAAUCCAAUUAUAUCCUAUAUUCUCGCAGUCAAACUCGUCCAGCUUCAUCUCUCACUGGUCCUCUCUGCACAAUGUCCUGUUCGGGCUUCAAAGCUCCAGCAAACACAGUCUCAACUCAGCUGUUGUCUUCUUCUCUGUUUCUUUACAGUCUUUCUUUCAGAUUUAAUCCCAGCAUGGCAAAAUAUCACUCAAUGUCCAGUGCUCUUCCACAAUUCUUUAUCCCACUGUUCAACUGCCCAGCCUGUAUUUUCACAGUACAUCUUGCAUUACUCUUACAUGCUGCUGCUGGUCGUCAGUCGUCAUCAGUGUUAAUGGAUCAGUGGCACUGUCAUUUGCCUGCUGUAUUCAAG